CUGUAGAUUGACAUUGCAUAUUGCUGCCUAAUUUGUUGUCUAUAACAAUUCCCAAAUCCUUGUCAUGUGUGGUUAUCCGUAAUUCACUACCAUUUAGUGUGUAAGUUGCUUGUGCAUUCUUAACCCCGAAGUGCAUAACUUUGCAUUUCUCUAUGUUGAAUUUCAUCUGCCAUUUUAGUGCCCAGUCCCUCAAUCUAUCCAAAUCUCUC
Molecule: non-coding RNA, 209 nt
Organism: Pelobates cultripes (western spadefoot toad)
Lineage: Eukaryota; Metazoa; Chordata; Amphibia; Anura; Pelobatidae
Source: the annotation of a GenBank genome assembly